CCACUGCACCUGCAGCACAUGGAAGUUCCCAGACUAAGGGUCCAGUGCAAGCUGCAGCUGUGGUCUAAUCUAUGCCACAGCCAUGGCAAUACAGGAUCCCAGCUGCAUAUGCGACCUGACCUUUGGGGCAGCUUGAGGCAAUGUAGGAUCCUUAACCCACUGGGCGAGGCCAGGGAUGGAACCUGCACCCUCACAGAGACAACAUCCUGUCCUUAACCUGCUAAGCCACAAUGGGAAGGCCUAGCUGUGGGAAUCUUGAACCAGGAUUCAACCUCCUAGUGUCUUAAUGUCCUCAUCAUUCAUCAGGUGCCUGGCACUCGGGUCUUUAGUGUCUGGUACGGUGAGGGUGGUGAGGGCCCAGAAAACGAGCACUUUCCUGAGGCUUGUCCCUCAGAUGGGCCACCAUGGAACUCUGUGGGCAGAGCGAGGCCAGGAGAGGAGCGGGACAAGACCCUGGUGGUCUCUAGUCUGGGAGGCCAAGUGUGGGGCACCUGGGCAGCAUUGCCCAAUCUCAGACCUGCCUCUGUGCCCCAGGGACAGUGCCUACUCUCAGACAUUCUUGGUCCUGUCACCUCGACAACCAUAGAGGCUCAGAAACCUAAGACCACGUGAACGCACUUAUGGCUCAGUGGUAACAAACCCAACUAGGAUCUGUGAGGACAUGGGUUGCACCCCUCAGUAGGUUAAGGAUCCGGCAUUGCCAUGAGCUGUAGUGAAAGUCUCAGAUAUGGCUUGGAUCUGGCAUUGCUGUGGCUAUGGUGUGGGCCAGCAGCUGCAGCUCUGAUUCAACCCCUAGCCUGGGAACUUUCAUAUGUCGUGGGUGCAGCCCUCUAAAGAAAAGAAAAAAAAAAGAACUAAGGAAGAGGAGUUCCCUCUGUGGUGCAACAGGAUUGGAGGUGUCUUGGGAGCACUGGGACAUUGGUUCAAUCCCCCGCUGGGCACCGUGGGUUAAGGCUCCUGUGUUGCUGCAACUGGCCCCAGAACUCCACAUACAGUGGGGCAGCCAAAAAAACAAAAAACAAAAAACAAAAAACCUAAGGUGGACUUUAUGGAAGGUAAAGCCCCUGGGAAAAACAACUGGGGCACAACAUUGUAAAUCAACUAUACUCUAAUUAAAUUGGAAUUCUUAACCCACUGAGUGAGUCCAGGGAUCAAACCUGUAUCCUCAUGGAUACUAGUUGGGUUCUUAACCUGCUGAGCCGCAAUGGGAACUCCCACAAAAUGUUUCGAUCAUCCUGCAAGUGACCCCGACAUAGCUCUGGAGGUCCUGACAACUUUUGUACACUCUCGUCCUGCACAGCCAUAAUAUGGGAGUAUCUGGGCAGGUCCCUUUAGCAGGUAUGUCCCUCUAGGCUGUUGUAAUCUCGCCAACUACUUAUUAUUCGCACCUGGUGUUUCUGUACCAAGAUGGUUUCCACUUGGCUCCUAUAGGUCAUCCAGCCAGCGACACCUGCCUAUUAAAUUCUGAACUCAGGCUCCUCGGCAGGUACCAGAGGCCAACUGCCUCUUAAUGAUG
Molecule: long non-coding RNA, 1516 nt
Filed under: Sus scrofa (pig)
Lineage: Eukaryota; Metazoa; Chordata; Mammalia; Artiodactyla; Suidae
Description: lncRNA (ENSSSCG00005021429.1)
Source: RNAcentral